CAUGCAAGUCGUACGAGAGUUUUUAACUCAAGUGGCGGACGGGUGAGUAACACGUGAGAAUUUGCCUUUAGGAGGGGGAUAACAGAGUGAAAACGCUGCUAAUACCCCAUAUGCUUUCGAGUGAAAUGGAUUUAUUCGCCUAAAGAGAAGCUCGCGGCUGAUUAGCUUGUUGGUAAGGUAAUGGCUUACCAAGGCGACGAUCAGUAUCUGGUUUGAGAGGACGAUCAGACACACUGGAACUGAGACACGGUCCAGACUCCUACGGGAGGCAGCAGUGGGGAAUUUUCCGCAAUGGGCGAAAGCCUGACGGAGCAAUACCGCGUGAGGGAUGACGGCCUAUGGGUUGUAAACCUCUUUUCUCAGGGAGGAAAUCAAUGACGUUACCUGAGGAAUAAGCAUCGGCUAACUCCGUGCCAGCAGCCGCGGUAAGACGGAGGAUGCAAGUGUUAUCCGGAAUCACUGGGCGUAAAGCGUCUGUAGGUGGCUUAACAAGUCAACUGUUAAAUCUUGAAGCUCAACUUCGAAAUCGCAGUCGAAACUGUUAGGCUAGAGUAUAGUAGGGGGUAAAGGGAAUUUCCAGUGGAGCGGUGAAAUGCGUAG
Molecule: ribosomal RNA, 600 nt
Filed under: uncultured cyanobacterium
Lineage: Bacteria; Bacillati; Cyanobacteriota
Description: bacterial SSU rRNA
Rfam family: Bacterial small subunit ribosomal RNA
Source: RNAcentral